UACGUAGGGCGCAAGCGUUGUCCGGAAUUAUUGGGCGUAAAGAGCUCGUAGGUGGUUUGUUACGUCUGCUGUGAAAACCUAGGGCUUAACCCUGGGCCUGCAGUGGAUACGGGCAGACUAGAGGUAGGUAGGGGAGAAUGGAAUUCCCGGUGUAGCGGUGAAAUGACGGCAGAUAUCGGGAGGAACACCGGUGGCGAAGGCGGUUCUCUAGUACGGUACUGACGCUGAGACGCGAAAGCGUGGGGAGCGAACAGG
This 255-nucleotide ribosomal RNA is filed under the name uncultured bacterium. RNAcentral describes it as "partial 16S ribosomal RNA". It matches the Rfam family "Bacterial small subunit ribosomal RNA", at positions 524 to 776 of the family's 1533-position model. The record is from RNAcentral.